This 465-nucleotide ribosomal RNA is filed under the name uncultured bacterium. Its description in RNAcentral is "partial 16S ribosomal RNA". It matches the Rfam family "Bacterial small subunit ribosomal RNA", at positions 28 to 507 of the family's 1533-position model. The record is from RNAcentral.
GACGAACGCUGGCGGCGUGCUUAACACAUGCAAGUCGAACGGAAAGGCCCGUUUGGGGGUCCUCGGGUGGCGAACGGGUGAGUAACACGUGAGUAACCUGCCCUUGACUCCGGGAUAACUUUAGGAAACUGGGGCUAAUACUGGAUAGGAAUCCUUUCUGCACGGUGGGGGUUGGAAAGCUUCGGCGGGUUUGGAUGGACUGGCGGCUUAUCCGCUUGUUGGAGGGGUAGUGGCUUACCAAGGCUUUGACGGGUAGCCGGCCUGAGAGGGCGACCGGCCACAUUGGGACUGAGAUACGGCCCAGGCUCCUACGCGAGGCAGAAGUGGGGAAUAUUGCACGAGGGGCGGAGGCCUGAUGCUGAAGCGCCGCGUGCGGGAUGACGGUGUUCGGGUUGGAAACCGAUUUCAGCAGGAGCGAAGCUUGUGGUGACGGUACCUGCAGAAGAAGCACCGGCUAACUACGUG